Molecule: ribosomal RNA, 443 nt
Filed under: uncultured bacterium
Lineage: Bacteria
Description: bacterial SSU rRNA
Rfam family: Bacterial small subunit ribosomal RNA
Source: RNAcentral
AACGCGAAGAACCUUACCUACUCUUGACAUCCACGGAACCUGGCAGAGAUGCUGGGGUGCCUUCGGGAACCGUGAGACAGGUGCUGCAUGGCUGUCGUCAGCUCGUGUCGUGAGAUGUUGGGUUAAGUCCCGUAACGAGCGCAACCCUUAUUCUUAGUUGCCAGUGGGUAAAGCCGGGAACUCUAGGAAGACUGCCGGUGACAAGCCGGAGGAAGGUGGGGACGACGUCAAGUCAUCAUGGCCCUUACGAGUAGGGCUACACGCGUGUUACAAUGGACGGUACAAAUGGAAGCGAAACCGUGAGGUGGAGCGAAUCUAAUCAAAGCCGUUCGUAGUCCGGAUUGGAGUCUGCAACUCGACUCCAUGAAGUUGGAAUCGCUAGUAAUCGUGGAUCAGAACGCCACGGUGAAUACGUUCUCGGGCCUUGUACACGCCGCUACAGU